UGGGGAAUAUUGCACAAUGGGCGCAAGCCUGAUGCAGCCAUGCCGCGUGUAUGAAGAAGGCCUUCGGGUUGUAACGUACUUUCAGCGGGGAGGAAGUGAGUAAAGUUAAUACCUUUGCUCAUUGACGUUACCCGCAGAAGAAGCACCGGCUAACUCCGUGCCAGCAGCCGCGGUAAUACGGAGGGUGCAAGCGUUAAUCGGAAUUACUGUGCGUAAAGCGCACGCAGGCGGUUUGUUAAGUCAGAUGUGAAAUCCCCGGGCUCAACCUGGGAACUGCAUAUGAUACUGGCAAGCUUGAGUCUCGUAGAGGGGGGUAGAAUUCCAUGUGUAGCGGUGAAAUGCGUAGAGAUGUGGAGGAAUACCGGUAGCGAAGGCGGCCCCCUGGACAAAGACUGACGCUCAGGUGCGAAAGCGGGGGGAGCAAACAGG
This 429-nucleotide ribosomal RNA is filed under the name Chloroflexota bacterium. RNAcentral's name for it is "Chloroflexi bacterium partial 16S ribosomal RNA". It matches the Rfam family "Bacterial small subunit ribosomal RNA", at positions 355 to 776 of the family's 1533-position model. Lineage: Bacteria; Bacillati; Chloroflexota. The record is from RNAcentral.